UCAUAGCAGCAGUUACUGUGGAAGAAAGGAGAGAAGAGGAAAACACUGGCCACUAUCAACUGACAUUGGGACUCGCCGUAAACGAGCGCUUUUUGGGGUACACUGCCCCCUCUUGAGCAAUGGUAUCAAUAGAUCGAUCAAAGGGAACGUGAGACGCGCGCGUGUUUUGACAACAUCAGCACCACCUCGAAUGGAUGGAGUUGUCAUCUGAUCCUAGCGACAGAAAUCGCCCAACUUCAAGCGCCACAUAGCCUGUGCGGAGACAGAUGCGGUGACCCCAGCUUGACAAUAUUCUGCCAGCCAGACAAAAGUUUUCCUGGUUAUGAUCUUUCUGCCUGCCCCGACCCUGAGCCUGCCUGCCGCUCUUGCACAUUGGCAGCCGAGAGUGCCUGGAACCCGGAAUCCCUGAUUGACACGUUCCUGCACGGAUUAUCGGAGGAAGUUAAGGACGAGCUCACAGCCCGGGAACUGCCGACGGAUCUCGACUCGCUCCAGAUCGAUGGGCGGCUACAGGAACGUAGGAAGGAGAGUAGGUCCGAUUACGGUUCCACGCACCCACCCAAGGAUACCACCUCGCCUCCAAGGCAUCCCGGAAGUCCCCGAUGUCUACGUUUCCAAGAGAAUCCGAGGCUACCCGAGUUCCCCUGAGAGUCUCCGAAGUCUGCCGAUUCACCUCUUCCCGAGCCGAUGCAACUAGGCAGAGCUAGGUUGUCUCCAGCCGAACGUUUAUGCAGGCUUAACACAAAGAGUUGUCUAUAUUGCGGGACUACUGGUAAUUUCGUGUCUACCUGUCCACUAAAAGACCAGGCUCACCGGUAGGGGCGAGGACUCUGGUGGGCCAUAUGGAGAACUUUCCUUCUCCCCUUACUCACACUCCUCUCCAUGCCAUCCUGCUGUGGCGGAACCAGUCGAAAUAUCUCUGGGUACUCAUCGACUCUGGGGCCCUGGAUUACUGACCUCUGCCUGCCCCGACCCUGAGUCUACUUGCCGCUCUUUACCUUACGGACUCUGCCCUGGACUACCGACCUCUGCCUGCCCUUGACCUGUUCUUUGCCUGCCCCCUGUUUAUAUAAUAAACGUCCGAUAUUUGAACUGUCUGCAUCUGGGUCUUUUCCUGAGCCGUGAUACUGA
Coregonus clupeaformis (lake whitefish) is the source of this 1131-nucleotide long non-coding RNA. RefSeq lists it as uncharacterized. The transcript has 4 exons. The record is from RefSeq and is a predicted model, not a curated record. NCBI's taxonomy places the organism in Eukaryota, Metazoa, Chordata, Actinopteri, Salmoniformes, Salmonidae.